This is a long non-coding RNA of Ceratina calcarata, 1042 nucleotides long. RefSeq lists it as uncharacterized. The record is from RefSeq and is a predicted model, not a curated record. The transcript has 3 exons. Lineage: Eukaryota; Metazoa; Arthropoda; Insecta; Hymenoptera; Apidae.
GGUGCUCUCAACGAUAUCUCUCCGACGUUCCGAAAACUUCUCAUUCUCUAAGUGAAUUCAUUGCUUUUCCUCGAAACUUUUCAAAAUAAUUAGCUUAAGACCGACAAUCGUUUAUGCUACAAAAGACCAUCAUUAGUAUCGAUAAAUCUAGAAUAGGUGGGCUCGUAGAACGUUGAGAAGUCGUUCAUAAAUAUCCAGUUCAAAGGCAUCGUAAAAUCGGAUUCAACGAACUCCACGCAGCCCUUGGACCUUUCCCGAUUCAGCCUUUCACCGGGUUGCAUUAGCAGUGAUACCGUCCAAGCAGCAACGUUCCAAUCCAGAAUAGAGUCCAAGGACCAGCACGGACCGACGUACGCUUGUGCAAGACGCAGCGCGCGUGUCUACCGUACUGGUCAAUCUAAUCCAUCGCCUCUUCUCUAAGACGGACGACGAAGGUGCGAGGAGAGCAGACACUCGUGAAAGGAGAACAAUCCGAUGAUCAUUUUCCAAUGGAACGAGACGCUGGUGCAUCCUUAUUUGUAGCUGACAGGACUCGUGGAUGCAAAACGCGGAUCGGGCUAUGAAAUGAGGGAGACGCGUCGGAAACGUUAGAGUGGCAAGGAAGAGCGCAAUUUUGGGAAGGAUUAGGCCAACUGGCCCGGAAACCGCAGCAGCUGCGGUACGCAAUAUGCGUCCACGGGUCCUCUGCGCCACGACGGAUUCUUGUGAAACGAUGGACAAAAUCGGAGGACGAGUCGAUUGAAGGUUUCUGAAUGAACGAUGCGUCACGCGCCUCUCAGGCGCCGCGUUAAUGCCGCCUUCCGAGUAAAUCAAUUAAAGGAUGAACUUCAACGAGACUGUGAGUCUCUUUGUUCUUCGGAGAAAGAGUAGAUAGAUUUAUUCGAUCAAACACCUCUAUUGAUGCGAGACAACGUGUUCAUCAAAUUUUUUACAAUUAUUAAACCUGGUGUAAUUCGAGCGCAGAGGUACUUUUAACUGACGCAUAAUGAUUUUAUCAAGACGUAAGUAUUGUGUACGAAUUCAUUAACACGUUGACUGCCGC